This 430-nucleotide ribosomal RNA is filed under the name uncultured bacterium. RNAcentral's name for it is "partial 16S ribosomal RNA". It matches the Rfam family "Bacterial small subunit ribosomal RNA", at positions 29 to 505 of the family's 1533-position model. The record is from RNAcentral.
ACGAACGCUGGCGGCAUACCUAACACAUGCAAGUCGAACGAGACCUUCGGGUCUAGUGGCGCACGGGUGCGUAACGCGUGGGAACCUGCCCUUAGGUUCGGAAUAACUCCCCGAAAGGGGUGCUAAUACCGGAUAAUGUCUUCGGACCAAAGAUUUAUCGCCUUUGGAUGGGCCCGCGUUGGAUUAGCUAGUUGGUAGGGUAAAAGCCUACCAAGGCGACGAUCCAUAGCUGGUCUGAGAGGAUGAUCAGCCACACUGGGACUGAGACACGGCCCAGACUCCUACGGGAGGCAGCAGUGGGGAAUAUUGGACAAUGGGCGAAAGCCUGAUCCAGCAAUGCCGCGUGAGUGAUGAAGGCCUUAGGGUUGUAAAGCUCUUUUACCCGGGAUGAUAAUGACAGUACCGGGAGAAUAAGCUCCGGCUAACUCCG